GAGGGUAUAGCUCAGCGUUAGAGUGCGUGCUUAGCAUACACGAGGUCCUGGGUUCAAUCCCCAGUACCAACA
RNAcentral lists this transfer RNA (72 nucleotides) under Camelus bactrianus (Bactrian camel). It matches the Rfam family "tRNA". Rfam says of the family: Transfer RNA (tRNA) molecules are approximately 80 nucleotides in length. Their secondary structure includes four short double-helical elements and three loops (D, anti-codon, and T loops). The record is from Rfam by way of RNAcentral. Lineage: Eukaryota; Metazoa; Chordata; Mammalia; Artiodactyla; Camelidae. RNAcentral also lists the same sequence under 2 other names.